AAUAAGUUCAUUUUUCAGUUUCUGGAUACAAUCUUUGACUCUUUGUCUUAUUUGAAAAUUUUUUGCGAUUAAUAUUUUUAUUGUUAUUAGAUGAUAAAACAUGAAUAAUAUUUUACGCAUGACUUUUUUUUUGAAAUUUUUUUAUAAUUUCUUCAAAUAAGAUGGAUGGUCAAACGUUGGACACAGAAAUCAAAAAAUGAAGUUUUU
Oryza brachyantha (malo sina) is the source of this 207-nucleotide non-coding RNA. The record is from Rfam. NCBI's taxonomy places the organism in Eukaryota, Viridiplantae, Streptophyta, Magnoliopsida, Poales, Poaceae.